GCAAAAAGGAACACAGAACUUUGGAGGGGGGGGGGGUGAGCUGAUCCAGAGGUGGAAACUGACUUCUGUCUGGAAACACACCCUAGGGAGGUUGGCUCUGGCUAAUUCCCUGAUCGAGGGAUCUCUUUCCCUGUGAUUCCUGACCCCAGAUCCUCACAGGAAGACAAGACAAUUGGACAGGAUUCUGAAACAUGAGCUGUCCACUAAGAAAGAUUUCCAUCAACCUCUUUGAAUUUGAACUUGGGGACACGUUCUGUGCAGCCAAGAACAAGAAUCUCUUUACUCUGAUCCAAAGAGGAUCAAGUGAAACAAGCCUGAUCUGCCUGACUUUGGGGGAAAGGGUAUUAGUUAGAUAGGGACCCCUUCUCCCUCCUUCCUUCUUGAACCUCAAUUCCUUACCCUCCAUCUUCCCUGUUCCCUUUCUGUUUCCCUCAAAUAAGCACAGUUAAUAAGACCGAGGAACAGACUCAACUGUUACUAGAGGGAAACUUGAGAUUGAGGGGGAAGAGAAGUGACCUUUCUCUUCCCAGGAAGAAAGGAGGCUUAUGACCAUAAGCCUUUACAACAAGAUCCUUCAGAGAACCCAGCAGUUAAGAGACACCUUGUAGAUUCUUCUGGAAAGCUUUAGCAGCAGAAAGGGACUUUAAAGUCUAUCUAGUCCAACUCUCUCAUUUUAGAAAUGAAGAACCUGAGGCCUAAAAAAGUUAAAUGACUUUUCCAAGGUCACACAGGAAGUUGCAGAACUCAAGCAUUAUUUCCCUUGAUGAUGGCUGCUGUGACUGAACUGGACAGAGGCUCAUCAAAGGACCCACAUAGCAUCAGGAUCAACAUUGGAUGGGAACCUGGUGGUACCAACGUUAUGCAGAAAUUGUAUAGAAAUUAUCUGAGAUCACUUUCCUCAGAGACUGAUAUGUGCUCACAAAGGGAAAAUAGCUGCGUUUUUGUUCUUAGUAUGUCCUGAAAAUAAAGAUUUCUUUCUAGAAGUUAAAAAAAAAUAU
This 998-nucleotide long non-coding RNA is filed under the name Monodelphis domestica (gray short-tailed opossum). RNAcentral describes it as "lncRNA (ENSMODG00000036496.1)". The record is from RNAcentral. Lineage: Eukaryota; Metazoa; Chordata; Mammalia; Didelphimorphia; Didelphidae.